Molecule: ribosomal RNA, 1215 nt
Filed under: Enterobacter hormaechei
Lineage: Bacteria; Pseudomonadati; Pseudomonadota; Gammaproteobacteria; Enterobacterales; Enterobacteriaceae
Also listed under: 1 other name
Description: partial 23S ribosomal RNA
Rfam family: Bacterial large subunit ribosomal RNA
Source: RNAcentral
GGUUAAGCGACUAAGCGUACACGGUGGAUGCCCUGGCAGUCAGAGGCGAUGAAGGACGUGCUAAUCUGCGAAAAGCGCCGGCGAGGUGAUAUGAACCCUUGACCCGGCGAUGUCCGAAUGGGGAAACCCAGUGCAAUCCGUUGCACUAUCGUUAACUGAAUACAUAGGUUAACGAGGCGAACCGGGGGAACUGAAACAUCUAAGUACCCCGAGGAAAAGAAAUCAACCGAGAUUCCCCCAGUAGCGGCGAGCGAACGGGGAGCAGCCCGGAGUCUGAAUCAGCUUGUGUGUUAGUGGAACGGUCUGGAAAGUCCGACGGUACAGGGUGAUAGUCCCGUACACGAAAGCACACAUGCUGUGAACUCGAAGAGUAGGGCGGGACACGUGGUAUCCUGUCUGAAUAUGGGGGGACCAUCCUCCAAGGCUAAAUACUCCUGACUGACCGAUAGUGAACCAGUACCGUGAGGGAAAGGCGAAAAGAACCCCGGCGAGGGGAGUGAAAAAGAACCUGAAACCGUGUACGUACAAGCAGUGGGAGCCUCUUUAUGGGGUGACUGCGUACCUUUUGUAUAAUGGGUCAGCGACUUAUAUUCUGUAGCAAGGUUAACCGUAUAGGGGAGCCGAAGGGAAACCGAGUCUUAACUGGGCGUUAAGUUGCAGGGUAUAGACCCGAAACCCGGUGAUCUAGCCAUGGGCAGGUUGAAGGUUGGGUAACACUAACUGGAGGACCGAACCGACUAAUGUUGAAAAAUUAGCGGAUGACCUGUGGCUGGGGGUGAAAGGCCAAUCAAACCGGGAGAUAGCUGGUUCUCCCCGAAAGCUAUUUAGGUAGCGCCUCGUGAACUCAUCUUCGGGGGUAGAGCACUGUUUCGGCUAGGGGGCCAUCCCGGCUUACCAACCCGAUGCAAACUACGAAUACCGAAGAAUGUUAUCACGGGAGACACACGGCGGGUGCUAACGUCCGUCGUGAAGAGGGAAACAACCCAGACCGCCAGCUAAGGUCCCAAAGUCAUGGUUAAGUGGGAAACGAUGUGGGAAGGCACAGACAGCCAGGAUGUUGGCUUAGAAGCAGCCAUCAUUUAAAGAAAGCGUAAUAGCUCACUGGUCGAGUCGGCCUGCGCGGAAGAUGUAACGGGGCUAAACCAUGCACCGAAGCUGCGGCAGCGACACUAUGUGUUGUUGGGUAGGGGAGCGUUCUGUAAGCCGUUGAAGGUG